RNAcentral lists this ribosomal RNA (325 nucleotides) under uncultured bacterium. RNAcentral describes it as "bacterial SSU rRNA". It matches the Rfam family "Bacterial small subunit ribosomal RNA", at positions 28 to 334 of the family's 1533-position model. The record is from RNAcentral.
GACGAACGCUGGCGGCGCGCCUAACACAUGCAAGUCGAACGAAGUUUGCCGGAGUUGAUCCUUCGGGUGAUUGAUAGUAAACUUAGUGGCGGACGGGUGAGUAACACGUGAGCAACCUGCCUUACAGAGGGGGAUAACGUUUGGAAACGAACGCUAAUACCGCAUAAGACCACAGCACCGCAUGGUGCAGGGGUAAAAAACUCCGGUGGUAUGAGAUGGAUCCGCGUCUGAUUAGCUAGUUGGUAAGGUAACGGCUUACCAAGGCAACGAUCAGUAGCCGACCUGAGAGGGUGACCGGCCACAUUGGGACUGAGACACGGCCCAA